CCUACGGGAGGCAGCAGUGAGGAAUAUUGGUCAAUGGCCGGAAGGCUGAACCAGCCAUGCCGCGUGAAGGUCAGUGCCCUAUGGGCGUUAAACUUCUUUUGUGCGGGAGCAAUAAUGGUCACGUGGGGCCAGACGAUAGGACCGGACGAAUAAGCAUCGGCUAACUCCGUGCCAGCAGCCGCGGUAAUACGGGGGGUGCAGGCGUUAUCCGGAUUUAUUGGGUUUAAAGGGUGCGUAGGCUGUGAGGUAAGUCAGCGGUGAAAUGCCCCCGCUCAAUGGGGUGAAGUGCCAUUGAUACUGCCUUGCUGGAAUGCGGAUGCGGUGGGAGGAAUGUGUGGUGUAGCGGUGAAAUGCAUAGAUAUCACACAGAACACCGAUUGCGAAGGCAUCUCACGAAUCCGCGAUUGACGCUGAUGCACGAAAGCGUGGGUAUCAAACAGGAUUAGAUACCCUUGUAGUC
RNAcentral lists this ribosomal RNA (460 nucleotides) under uncultured bacterium. RNAcentral's name for it is "partial 16S ribosomal RNA". It matches the Rfam family "Bacterial small subunit ribosomal RNA", at positions 338 to 795 of the family's 1533-position model. The record is from RNAcentral.